GGCGAAUGGUGUAAUGGAAACACACCCGCAAGGGAGUAUUUGGAGGGUUCGAUUCCCUCUCCGCCA
Molecule: transfer RNA, 66 nt
Filed under: Bordetella trematum
Lineage: Bacteria; Pseudomonadati; Pseudomonadota; Betaproteobacteria; Burkholderiales; Alcaligenaceae
Description: tRNA-OTHER
Source: RNAcentral